GUAUCUUCGGAUACGAGUACAGCGGCGGACGGGUGAGUAACGCGUAGGAAUCUACCUAGUAGAAGGGGAUAGCCCGGGGAAACCCGGAUUAAUACCGUAUACCUCCUUCGGGAGAAAGAAGGCCUCUCUUUGAAGCUUUCGCUACUAGAUGAGCCUGCGUAAGAUUAGCUUGUUGGUGAGGUAAAGGCUCACCAAGGCAACGAUCUUUAGCUGGUCUGAGAGGACGAUCAGCCACAUUGGGACUAAGACACGGCCCAGACUCCUACGGGAGGCAGCAGUGGGGAAUAUUGGACAAUGGGCGCAAGCCUGAUCCAGCCAUACCGCGUGUGUGAAGAAGGCCUUCGGGUUGUAAAGCACUUUAAGCAGGGAGAAAAAGUUAUAAGCUAAUACCUUAUAACCUUGAUGUUACCUGCAGAAUAAGCACCGGCUAAUUCCGUGCCAGCAGCCGCGGUAAUACGGAAGGUGCAAGCGUUAAUCGGAAUUACUGGGCGUAAAGCGCGCGUGGGUGGUUUGUUAAGUUGGAUGUGAAAGCCCUG
This 536-nucleotide ribosomal RNA is filed under the name uncultured Gammaproteobacteria bacterium. Its description in RNAcentral is "bacterial SSU rRNA". It matches the Rfam family "Bacterial small subunit ribosomal RNA", at positions 74 to 605 of the family's 1533-position model. The record is from RNAcentral. Lineage: Bacteria; Pseudomonadati; Pseudomonadota; Gammaproteobacteria.